CACAAGAAGCACAAUGACCUCAGCAUCACAAAAGAGCUCAGAUGUGGUCACGGACCUGAGAGAUCCAGGUCAGAAGAGGCCACACAACCAUGUGAACAGGUGGCAACCUCCAGUGGCAAGGCAAAACCAGCAGAGCCAGGACAGGACCCACCACAUGUGUGAGCCUGCUGAGGAAAGAAGAUCCUGGGCCAAAGGCAUUGCUGAUGUUACAAGUUGCCUCCGCUGCUUCAGGACCAAUUUUGAACUCGAG
Molecule: long non-coding RNA, 250 nt
Organism: Columba livia (rock pigeon)
Lineage: Eukaryota; Metazoa; Chordata; Aves; Columbiformes; Columbidae
Exons: 3
Source: RefSeq, a predicted model, not a curated record